This 1369-nucleotide ribosomal RNA is filed under the name uncultured beta proteobacterium. RNAcentral describes it as "bacterial SSU rRNA". It matches the Rfam family "Bacterial small subunit ribosomal RNA", at positions 27 to 1394 of the family's 1533-position model. The record is from RNAcentral. Lineage: Bacteria; Pseudomonadati; Pseudomonadota; Betaproteobacteria.
GAUUGAACGCUGGCGGCAUGCCUUACACAUGCAAGUCGAACGGCAGCACGGGUGCUUGCACCUGGUGGCGAGUGGCGAACGGGUGAGUAAUACAUCGGAACAUGUCCUGUAGUGGGGGAUAGCCCGGCGAAAGCCGGAUUAAUACCGCAUACGAUCUACGGAUGAAAGCGGGGGACCUUCGGGCCUCGCGCUAUAGGGUUGGCCGAUGGCUGAUUAGCUAGUUGGUGGGGUAAAGGCCUACCAAGGCGACGAUCAGUAGCUGGUCUGAGAGGACGACCAGCCACACUGGGACUGAGACACGGCCCAGACUCCGACGGGAGGCAGCAGUGGGGAAUUUUGGACAAUGGGCGAAAGCCUGAUCCAGCAAUGCCGCGUGUGUGAAGAAGGCCUUCGGGUUGUAAAGCACUUUUGUCCGGAAAGAAAUCCUUGGCUCUAAUACAGUCGGGGGAUGACGGUACCGGAAGAAUAAGCACCGGCUAACUACGUGCCAGCAGCCGCGGUAAUACGUAGGGUGCGAGCGUUAAUCGGAAUUACUGGGCGUAAAGCGUGCGCAGGCGGUUUGCUAAGACCGAUGUGAAAUCCCCGGGCUCAACCUGGGAACUGCAUUGGUGACUGGCAGGCUAGAGUAUGGCAGAGGGGGGGUAGAAUUCCACGUGUAGCAGUGAAAUGCGUAGAGAUGUGGAGGAAUACCGAUGGCGAAGGCAGCCCCCUGGGCCAAUACUGACGCUCAUGCACGAAAGCGUGGGGAGCAAACAGGAUUAGAUACCCUGGUAGUCCACGCCCUAAACGAUGUCAACUAGUUGUUGGGGAUUCAUUUCCUUAGUAACGUAGCUAACGCGUGAAGUUGACCGCCUGGGGAGUACGGUCGCAAGAUUAAAACUCAAAGGAAUUGACGGGGACCCGCACAAGCGGUGGAUGAUGUGGAUUAAUUCGAUGCAACGCGAAAAACCUUACCUACCCUUGACAUGGUCGGAAUCCCGCUGAGAGGUGGGAGUGCUCGAAAGAGAACCGGCGCACAGGUGCUGCAUGGCUGUCGUCAGCUCGUGUCGUGAGAUGUUGGGUUAAGUCCCGCAACGAGCGCAACCCUUGUCCUUAGUUGCUACGCAAGAGCACUCUAAGGAGACUGCCGGUGACAAACCGGAGGAAGGUGGGGAUGACGUCAAGUCCUCAUGGCCCUUAUGGGUAGGGCUUCACACGUCAUACAAUGGUCGGAACAGAGGGUUGCCAACCCGCGAGGGGGAGCUAAUCCCAGAAAACCGAUCGUAGUCCGGAUUGCACUCUGCAACUCGAGUGCAUGAAGCUGGAAUCGCUAGUAAUCGCGGAUCAGCAUGCCGCGGUGAAUACGUUCCCGGGUCUUGUACACACCGCC